GAGACACCCUUCUGGGGCAAGACUUGCUUCAGUGGGGCUUUGGUGCUCACUGAGUCUGACCCCUGGGUGUGUCCCU
Molecule: microRNA precursor, 76 nt
Filed under: Myotis lucifugus (little brown bat)
Lineage: Eukaryota; Metazoa; Chordata; Mammalia; Chiroptera; Vespertilionidae
Description: mir-9229 microRNA precursor family
Rfam family: mir-9229 microRNA precursor family
Source: Rfam by way of RNAcentral